UAUGCUUGUCUCAAAGAUUAAGCCAUGCAUGUCUAAGUAUAAACAACUUUAUACUGUGAAACUGCGAACGGCUCAUUAUAUCAGCAAUAAUUUAUUUGAUGGUUCCUUACUACACGGAUAACUGUAGUAAUUCUAGAGCUAAUACGUGCGUAAAAUCCCGACUCUUGCGGGGAGGGAUGUAUUUAUUAGAUAAAAAGCCAGCGCGGGUUCUGCCCGGUUUUGUGGUGAAUCAUAGUAACUUUUCGAAUCGCAUGGCUUCACGCCGGCGAUAGUUCAUUCAAAUUUCUGCCCUAUCAGCUUUCGACGGUAGUGUAGUGGACUACCGUGGCAUUAACGGGUAACGGAGAAUUAGGGUUCGAUUCCGGAGAGGGAGCCUGAGAAACGGCUACCACAUCCAAGGAAGGCAGCAGGCGCGCAAAUUACCCAAUUCUGACACAGAGAGGUAGUGACAAAAAAUAACAAUACCUGGCUUCUUUAGGUCGGGUAAUUGCAAUGAGUACAAUUUAAAUCCCUUA
RNAcentral lists this ribosomal RNA (515 nucleotides) under uncultured eukaryote. RNAcentral's name for it is "SSU rRNA". It matches the Rfam family "Eukaryotic small subunit ribosomal RNA", at positions 27 to 536 of the family's 1831-position model. The record is from RNAcentral.